GGGGGAAUUUUGCGCAAUGGGCGAAAGCCUGACGCAGCAACGCCGCGUGUGUGACGAAGGCCCUAGGGUUGUAAAGCACUGUGGGAGGGGAAGAAAAAACGGGGGUUGUACCCUGUCUUGACGGUACCCUGUUAGAAAGCACCGGCUAACUCCGUGCCAGCAGCCGCGGUAAUACGGAGGGUGCAAGCGUUGUUCGGAAUUAUUGGGCGUAAAGGGCGUGUAGGUGGCUCGCCAAGUCUGGUGUGAAAGC
RNAcentral lists this ribosomal RNA (250 nucleotides) under uncultured bacterium. Its description in RNAcentral is "partial 16S ribosomal RNA". It matches the Rfam family "Bacterial small subunit ribosomal RNA", at positions 355 to 601 of the family's 1533-position model. The record is from RNAcentral.